RNAcentral lists this non-coding RNA (30 nucleotides) under Rattus norvegicus (Norway rat). The record is from RNAcentral. Lineage: Eukaryota; Metazoa; Chordata; Mammalia; Rodentia; Muridae.
UAGUUUGUUAUUACAGACCCCAAUAUGAGU